Molecule: ribosomal RNA, 300 nt
Filed under: Triticum aestivum (bread wheat)
Lineage: Eukaryota; Viridiplantae; Streptophyta; Magnoliopsida; Poales; Poaceae
Description: partial small subunit ribosomal RNA
Source: RNAcentral
AUGGAGAUGGAGGAGUCGGAGCUGGAGAGGUCGUCGCCGUCAUGGGGGGAGAAGGGGGCCCAGGAGAAGAGCUGCCGCGAUGGCCCUCCACCGUGGGGACUGGUGGAGGCUCGAGACCACCAUGGGCCUUUGCCCUCCGUCGUUGAACUCCACCGAGAUGAGCCGCUGUCCACCGAGAUGAGCGCGGGCGGUGCGGAUCCCGCCGGAUCCGAUGCCGCGAGUGGUGCGGUGGUGCCGCGGGGGAGGGUGGAGGUGCGGUGGUGGCUGCGAGGUGGUGGCCUAGGUGUGGUGUGGGGGUGA